GCUGUAGAAAGAGAGUUUUGUUCAGCUUUUAACCACAACAAAGAAAAAUUACCAGAAAUCAUAUUAUUAAAUAGAAAUUGACGUUUAGUCCCAUAUUUGUUGGGCUUUAAACAGUCUAGUCUAUUCCCUCACGCGGUCCAAAUUUACGAAAUCCUGAAGGAGUUAAUCCUUUUACAAACGAUUCAAUCCAAAUCGAAUUUCUCUGAUGACAAAAGUAACCCUCCUCCAGAAAAAAGUGCUCAUUCAAUUAGUAGCUACUCUUCUUAGGACUGACAACAAAUCGUCGACGAAAGAAAAACCAAACAAUCUUCGUUUUCCUUUUAUGUUUCGAUGGAGAUUUCUUCGAUUAUCUUCUUCAUCUCUAUCUCUCAAAUCGGAAGGGUGUAAAUGGUGAGUCACUGCAGUACAAAUAGAAUAGUGAUAAUACUGACCAUGAAUUCAACUACUGGUUUGUCUUAUACAAGUCAAGGUCAUCCAGCUCCCAACUCUCCACCAUAUUUUGGACCUUCAAGGAAGUUGGAUUUUGAGCUAGAAAUGGCUGUUGUACUAGGUUCGCGAAACAAGUUAGGAGAGUCUGUGGAUGUCAAUGACGCAGCUGAUUACAUUUUUGGUCUUACGACAGUAGGUUGAGUUCAGUAGACCUUAAAAUGGUAGUCAACGAGUAAUGUCCAGUAGCUCACUAGUUCAAAGAGUAAUUGGCAGCAAAAUUCUUUUGAUGUGAUUCAAAACAGUAGAUAUCUUAUCCGAAGAAGAUUCUUUGCUGCACUCUAAUGACUGGAAGGAGCAAUCCAAUUCUUCAUGAAUAAAUACGACUAAGCACUAGAGACAUAUCAAGAAGGAAGGACUAAAACAUGGCCAAAAUAACCAGGAAUUGAUGGAUGGUGUAAGAAGAUGUGUGGCACAAAUUCACAACACGAACUGUGGUGAUAUCACUGCUGAUGAUUUGAACGAGAGACAGGCUUUGCAGGAUCCAGAGAUCUAGAAUAUUUUAUCCAUCCAGUCACGAGACUGGUUCAUAUUUUACUGAAGGACCUUGUGCAUAAGGCUGUCCGUAAGACUGUGAGGGAAGCUGGUGUUGAUGACAAAGGUGAAGUUAUUGAGAUCUCAAAAUGGGAAUGUAUAAUAUGGCUUGCAAAGGUUAAUAAUACUCUGUGAAGGAGACUUUCGCUAAAUGUUUGUGAAGCAGACUUUGUCCGCACUGAUAAUGAGAGGGUCUCUUGACAUUCAGGUUACCAUCCUUCUAUAAGUGUACAUAUUGGUGCACCUGGAAUACAAGUGUACAUAUUGAUGCACCUGCAACAAGAUGAGUAAAACAUACACAUAGUAAUUUCCUUACUAUUACUUUCGUCAAGUCAUAGUAAUUUCUGUCACAAAUGGCAGUUGUCAGUGUCAAUGGUGUAAAAGCUGAGAUGUGACUUAUGAUGUUGACUCGUAUGGUAUUACAGAUGUUGGAAACGCUCCACUUUGUUGCAAAAACUUCUAAAAUGUUAGGCCGCACGAGCUUGCAGUUUUUACAAGACAUGGUCGGUCAAAUUGAUGUUCCGAGGAAAACAUUUGCACUAUCAUGAAACAUGAAGGCAUUUGGAUCUCUUAUGUUUCAACAUUUUCUCCGCUAGGUUUGCGGAAAAUUACGUGGACUGUGGUAUCCAUCCCUUAAAAUAAGAAGUAGGAGUUCUAAACAUCAGCUUUCAUUUUCUUUCGGUAGAAGUACAUGAUGUUAGUUACAUCAUCAUAUAAGGCUGAAAUUUCUAAAUAUCGAUAUGUAAUGUGGACCAUGCCAUUGCUUUCAACAUGAUUACAUGUAGAAUUUGCAUUUUAUCUCUAUCGGUAUCUUUACAUGGUACUUCACUUGAAUGAGUAUUUCUUUAUCUUGAUCGAUGAU
This is a long non-coding RNA of Papaver somniferum (opium poppy), 1882 nucleotides long. RefSeq lists it as uncharacterized. The transcript has 11 exons. Lineage: Eukaryota; Viridiplantae; Streptophyta; Magnoliopsida; Ranunculales; Papaveraceae. The record is from RefSeq and is a predicted model, not a curated record.